Molecule: long non-coding RNA, 594 nt
Organism: Pollicipes pollicipes
Lineage: Eukaryota; Metazoa; Arthropoda; Thecostraca; Pollicipedomorpha; Pollicipedidae
Exons: 3
Source: RefSeq, a predicted model, not a curated record
CGCGCCACGCAUUUGGCACUUACCAAAAAUGAACCUAUGGGUUUAAUCUGUGCUCAUAGAGAUUCGCUGGAGUGUGCACGUCAGGAAGAAAGUAAAUGGCAGACUACUGACAAGACCCCACUUCCAGACCGUACCCCCAUCCACGGUUCCAGAGCUUGUGAUGAGAGGAGUAUAACACAGUAUAAUAGACAUCACUUGCUGUAUUUCAGCUUAAUUCACCGAAAAGGACAGGCGUCGUGAAGGAACAAGGACGACGCGCUUAAGUGAAAAAGUGCGCUGGAAUAAACAGACCACAAAACGUAGGAACUCAGGAAGAGCAAACACUUAAGCUGCAGAGGGAAGAAGUACAACCGGAGCUAACACUCCCUCCAGAGAUGAAUGGAAAAGAAAAAGCCAUGGACUACGAAAAUCGGGCACUGACUGACCAGCUGGGUUCAAAAGUCUCUCGACUGAAAUCGCUGGCCUUUGACAUUGACAUGGACACAAGAGAGCACAAUAGCCUGUUGGACUCCAUGGGCGGCGACUUCGACUCCACGGAGAGCUUCCUGGGUGGGAGCGCGAACCGCAUGAAGAAGAUGAUGUCCUCAGGCCGGG